GGGUUGUGAGGUUAAGUGACUAAGCGUACACGGUGGAUGCCUAGGCAGUCAGAGGCGAUGAAGGGCGUGCUAAUCUGCGAAAAGCGUCGGUAAGGUGAUAUGAACCGUUACAACCGGCGAUACCCGAAUGGGGAAACCCAGUGUGUUUCGACACACUAUCAUGUCAUGAAUACAUAGUGGCAUGAGGCGAACCGGGGGAACUGAAACAUCUAAGUACCCCGAGGAAAAGAAAUCAACCGAGAUUCCCCCAGUAGCGGCGAGCGAACGGGGAGGAGCCCAGAACCUGAAUCGGCUUGUGUGUUAGUGGAAGCGUCUGGAAAGUCGCGCAGCAAAGGGUGAUAGCCCCGUACACUAAAAUGCACAGGUCGUGAGUUCGAUGAGUAGGGCGGGACACGUGACAUCCUGUCUGAAUAUGGGGGGACCAUCCUCCAAGGCUAAAUACUCCUGACUGACCGAUAGUGAACCAGUACCGUGAGGGAAAGGCGAAAAGAACCCCGGCGAGGGGAGUGAAAUAGAACCUGAAACCGUGUACGUACAAGCAGUGGGAGCACCUUCGUGGUGUGACUGCGUACCUUUUGUAUAAUGGGUCAGCGACUUAUAUUUUGUAGCAAGGUUAACCGUAUAGGGGAGCCGUAGGGAAACCGAGUCUUAACUGGGCGAAUAGUUGCAAGGUAUAGACCCGAAACCCGGUGAUCUAGCCAUGGGCAGGUUGAAGGUUGGGUAACACUAACUGGAGGACCGAACCGACUAAUGUUGAAAAAUUAGCGGAUGACUUGUGGCUGGGGGUGAAAGGCCAAUCAAACCGGGAGAUAGCUGGUUCUCCCCGAAAGCUAUUUAGGUAGCGCCUCGUGAACUCAUCUUCGGGGGUAGAGCACUGUUUCGGCUAGGGGGCCAUCCCGGCUUACCAAACCGAUGCAAACUCCGAAUACCGAAGAAUGUUAUCACGGGAGACACACGGCGGGUGCUAACGUCCGUCGUGAAGAGGGAAACAACCCAGACCGCCAGCUAAGGUCCCAAAGUCAUGGUUAAGUGGGAAACGAUGUGGGAAGGCACAGACAGCCAGGAUGUUGGCUUAGAAGCAGCCAUCAUUUAAAGAAAGCGUAAUAGCUCACUGGUCGAGUCGGCCUGCGCGGAAGAUGUAACGGGGCUAAACCAUGCACCGAAGCUGCGGCAGCGACGCUUAGGCGUUGUUGGGUAGGGGAGCGUUCUGUAAGCCGUUGAAGGUGGCCUGUGAGGGUUGCUGGAGGUAUCAGAAGUGCGAAUGCUGACAUAAGUAACGAUAAAGCGGGUGAAAAGCCCGCUCGCCGGAAGACCAAGGGUUCCUGUCCAACGUUAAUCGGGGCAGGGUGAGUCGACCCCUAAGGCGAGGCUGAAAAGCGUAGUCGAUGGGAAACAGGUUAAUAUUCCUGUACUUGGUGUUACUGCGAAGGGGGGACGGAGAAGGCUAGGCUAGCCGGGCGACGGUUGUCCCGGUUUAAGCGUGUAGGGGGUGUGACCUGGUAAAUCCGGUUGCAUACUAACCCUGAGGCGUGAUGACGAUGCACUACGGUGCAGAAGUAGUUGAUGCCCUGCUUCCAGGAAAAUCCUCUAAGCUCCAGGUAACAUUNNNNNNNNNNNNNNNNNNNNNNNNNNNNNNNNNNNNNNNNNNNNNNNNNNNNNNNNNNNNNNNNNNNNNNNNNNNNNNNNNNNNNNNNNNNNNNNNAAGCCAGUCGAAGAUACCAGCUGGCUGCAACUGUUUAAUAAAAACACAGCACUGUGCAAACACGAAAGUGGACGUAUACGGUGUGACGCCUGCCCGGUGCUGGAAGGUUAAUUGAUGGGGUCAGCCGCAAGGCGAAGCUCUUGAUCGAAGCCCCAGUAAACGGCGGCCGUAACUAUAACGGUCCUAAGGUAGCGAAAUUCCUUGUCGGGUAAGUUCCGACCUGCACGAAUGGCGUAAUGAUGGCCAGGCUGUCUCCACCCGAGACUCAGUGAAAUUGAACUCGCUGUGAAGAUGCAGUGUACCCGCGGCAAGACGGAAAGACCCCGUGAACCUUUACUAUAGCUUGACACUGAACAUUGAGCCUUGAUGUGUAGGAUAGGUGGGAGGCUUUGAAGCGUGGACGCCAGUCUGCGUGGAGCCAUCCUUGAAAUACCACCCUUUAAUGUUUGAUGUUCUAACUCUGCCCCAUAAUCUGGGGUGAGGACAGUGUCUGGUGGGUAGUUUGACUGGGGCGGUCUCCUCCCAAAGAGUAACGGAGGAGCACGAAGGUUAGCUAAUCACGGUCGGACAUCGUGAGGUUAGUGCAAAGGCAUAAGCUAGCUUGACUGCGAGAGUGACGGCUCGAGCAGGUACGAAAGUAGGUCUUAGUGAUCCGGUGGUUCUGAAUGGAAGGGCCAUCGCUCAACGGAUAAAAGGUACUCCGGGGAUAACAGGCUGAUACCGCCCAAGAGUUCAUAUCGACGGCGGUGUUUGGCACCUCGAUGUCGGCUCAUCACAUCCUGGGGCUGAAGUAGGUCCCAAGGGUAUGGCUGUUCGCCAUUUAAAGUGGUACGCGAGCUGGGUUUAGAACGUCGUGAGACAGUUCGGUCCCUAUCUGCCGUGGGCGUUGGAAGAUUGAGAGGGGUUGCUCCUAGUACGAGAGGACCGGAGUGAACGCACCACUGGUGUUCGGGUUGUCAUGCCAAUGGCAUUGCCCGGUAGCUAAGUGCGGAAAAGAUAAGCGCUGAAAGCAUCUAAGCGCGAAACUUGCCUCAAGAUGAGUCUUCCCUGGGCCUUUAAGGCCCCUGAAGGAACGUUUAAGACUAAGACGUUGAUAGGCUGGGUGUGUAAGUGCAGCGAUGCAUUGAGCUAACCAGUACUAAUGAUCCGUGAGGCUUAACCUUACAACACCGAAGGUGUUUUAG
RNAcentral lists this ribosomal RNA (2886 nucleotides) under Serratia marcescens. RNAcentral describes it as "23S ribosomal RNA". It matches the Rfam family "Bacterial large subunit ribosomal RNA". The record is from RNAcentral. Lineage: Bacteria; Pseudomonadati; Pseudomonadota; Gammaproteobacteria; Enterobacterales; Yersiniaceae.